Molecule: ribosomal RNA, 497 nt
Filed under: uncultured bacterium
Lineage: Bacteria
Description: partial 16S ribosomal RNA
Rfam family: Bacterial small subunit ribosomal RNA
Source: RNAcentral
GAUGAACGCUGGCGGCGUGCCUAAUACAUGCAAGUCGAGCGAACAGACGAGGAGCUUGCUCCUCUGACGUUAGCGGCGGACGGGUGAGUAACACGUGGAUAACCUACCUAUAAGACUGGGAUAACUUCGGGAAACCGGAGCUAAUACCGGAUAAUAUAUUGAACCGCAUGGUUCAAUAGUGAAAGACGGUUUUGCUGUCACUUAUAGAUGGAUCCGCGCCGCAUUAGCUAGUUGGUAAGGUAACGGCUUACCAAGGCGACGAUGCGUAGCCGACCUGAGAGGGUGAUCGGCCACACUGGAACUGAGACACGGUCCAGACUCCUACGGGAGGCAGCAGUAGGGAAUCUUCCGCAAUGGGCGAAAGCCUGACGGAGCAACGCCGCGUGAGUGAUGAAGGUCUUCGGAUCGUAAAACUCUGUUAUUAGGGAAGAACAAAUGUGUAAGUAAAUAUGCACGUCUUGACGGUACCUAAUCAGAAAGCAACGGCUAACUACGUG